RNAcentral lists this non-coding RNA (365 nucleotides) under Pongo abelii (Sumatran orangutan). Lineage: Eukaryota; Metazoa; Chordata; Mammalia; Primates; Hominidae. The record is from RNAcentral.
CUCUAGCAUCAAACUUCAGCUGCUACAGAGAAAGCCAGGUGUAUGGAGCAAACAAAGCCUGCAGCCUGGGAGAUUAGGAACCGCUCCUAACAACGGACUUAAUAACAUCACAUUAAUCACCUGAUUGGAUUCUUCCAACUUGAAGCUCACAGAAGGUGAGUUACCUCAGUCCCUUCUCCUGAGAGCACUCCCUCAGACACUUGAACAAGUCUCCACUCGGGCUCUGCUUCUAGAACACAUGACCCAAGACACUAGGCAACUCCUGGUUAACUGAGGACACUCUGCCAGGGUUCAAUAACUCAAGCUAUCCUUCACCCUCGUCUCUCAUACUCACUCCUGUGGUCGCUGAGUAUCACCUCAUUACC